Molecule: non-coding RNA, 72 nt
Organism: Phrynosoma platyrhinos (Desert horned lizard)
Lineage: Eukaryota; Metazoa; Chordata; Lepidosauria; Squamata; Phrynosomatidae
Source: the annotation of a GenBank genome assembly
GCCAGUGUAGCAUAGUGGUUUGAGCAUUGGAAUAGGACUCUGAAGACCAAGGUUCGGUUCCCAGCUUGGCCA